RNAcentral lists this ribosomal RNA (494 nucleotides) under uncultured bacterium. RNAcentral's name for it is "partial 16S ribosomal RNA". It matches the Rfam family "Bacterial small subunit ribosomal RNA", at positions 36 to 507 of the family's 1533-position model. The record is from RNAcentral.
UCCUCCCUCUUUCUUCGUGCUUAACACAUGCAAGUCGAACGGUGAAGCGCCUUCCUUUUUGGUGGGUGUGGAUGAGUGGCGAACGGGUGAGUAACACGUGAGUAACCUGCCCCCUUCUUCUGGAUAACCGCAUGAAAGUGUGGCUAAUACGGGAUAUUCUGGGUCUGUCGCAUGAUGGGUCUGGGAAAGAUAUUGUUUCGGUGGGGGAUGGGCUCGCGGCCUAUCAGCUUGUUGGUGGGGUGAGGGCCUACCCAGGCGGUGACGGGUAGCCGGCCUGAGAGGGUGGACGGUCACACUGGGACUGAGACACGGCCCAGACUCCGACGGGAGGCAGCAGGGGGGAAUAUUGCACAAGGGGCGCAAGCCUGAUGCAGCGACGCCGCGUGAGGGAUGGAGGCCUGCGGGUUGUGAACCUCUUUCGCCAGUGAAGCAGGCCUGCCUCGUCUGUGGGUGGGUUGACGGUAGCUGGAUAAGAAGCGCCGGCUAACUACGUG